CAACACCAACGGGAAUAAAGCGUGACCGAAUACGUUAUCCUCUGCUUCUUCCCUUCCACUCUCCGCUCUUUCCCCUUCUCUCCCCUCUCCGUCAAACCCUACUUUUUUGCAAGCAGAUCUCUCGUCUUAAUGACACUGACAUCCUCGUCUUAAUUCCUCGAUCGAUUAAUCUCGAUUGCGAAAUCCUUGCGUGAUCGAAUUGCCGGAAUCCUUGUUAUCAUCUUCUUCUUUCGUUACGGUGAGUCGAUGAUGUCUUCGUGAUAUUGAGUGUGGGGCUUCGCUGUUCUUGUUGGACCCUCUUUUUCUUUGGACAGGGUUUGAGUCGGGAGCGUUGCGGUCGCUCCUGUUUCUGAUCUCCGUCGGAUGGAGCCUCGCGUGGGGGACAAGUUCCGCCUUGGUCGCAAGAUCGGGAGCGGUUCCUUUGGAGAGAUCUAUUUAGGAAUUAAUAUCCAAACAAACGAAGAGGUUGCCAUAAAGCUCGCUUUCUACUGUUCCAUCAUACAAGACAAAGAUGUGCAUCUAUUACGGAAAGAAGAAAUCUUGGAAUACUGUCAAGAAAAUGCCACAUGAGUCAUCUGGUUUUAGUUAUCUGAUGCAAGCUCAUUUCAGGUCACGUCACAAUCGAGGUCAUGCCACGCUACAGUCAAGUCAGUAAGGGGAGCACCCUCACACACUGAGCCAAAGAUCAUACUAAGACGCUGCUCGGUAUGUCCCGACCCGGUAAGCCCGGGACGGCGGCCGCAUAAGUGUACCGUCUCAUCUCUCGAGGAUCGAUCGUCAUGCCAAAUCCGCGUACGAUCAACCCUCGUACAAUAGUAUAAAAGCUCAUGGCAGCAUCUGGCCCAAGGGGAAAAAAGGAAAAAAGAGAACUUCACACUGAUUGAUUGAUUGAUGGGUCA
Long non-coding RNA from Musa acuminata AAA Group (dessert banana), 899 nucleotides. RefSeq lists it as uncharacterized. The record is from RefSeq and is a predicted model, not a curated record. NCBI's taxonomy places the organism in Eukaryota, Viridiplantae, Streptophyta, Magnoliopsida, Zingiberales, Musaceae. The transcript is spliced from 4 exons.